RNAcentral lists this ribosomal RNA (1479 nucleotides) under metagenome. RNAcentral describes it as "bacterial SSU rRNA". It matches the Rfam family "Bacterial small subunit ribosomal RNA". The record is from RNAcentral.
ACGCUGGCGGCGUGCUUAACACAUGCAAGUCGAACGAGAAUCUGCGGAAAGAGGAUUCGUCCAAUUGAAGCAGAGGGCAGUGGCGGACGGGUGAGUAACGCGUGAGGAACCUGCCUUUCAGAGGGGGACAACAGUUGGAAACGACUGCUAAUACCGCAUGACACAUCGGAGUCGCAUGGCUCUGAUGUCAAAGAUUUAUCGCUGAAAGAUGGCCUCGCGUCUGAUUAGCUAGUUGGUAGGGUAACGGCCUACCAAGGCGACGAUGCGUAGCCGACCUGAGAGGGUGACCGGCCACACUGGGACUGAGACACGGCCCAGACUCCUACGGGAGGCAGCAGUAGGGAAUUUUCGGCAAUGGGGGAAACCCUGACCGAGCAACGCCGCGUGAAGGAAGAAGUAAUUCGUUAUGUAAACUUCUGUCAUAGAGGAAGAACGGUGGAUAUAGGGAAUGACAUCCAAGUGACGGUACUCUAUAAGAAAGCCACGGCUAACUACGUGCCAGCAGCCGCGGUAAUACGUAGGUGGCGAGCGUUAUCCGGAAUUAUUGGGCGUAAAGAGGGAGCAGGCGGCACUAAGGGUCUGUGGUGAAAGAUCGAAGCUUAACUUCGGUAAGCCAUGGAAACCGUAGAGCUAGAGUGUGUGAGAGGAUCGUGGAAUUCCAUGUGUAGCGGUGAAAUGUGUAGAUAUAUGGAGGAACACCAGUGGCGAAGGCGACGAUCUGGCGCAUAACUGACGCUCAGUCCCGAAAGCGUGGGGAGCAAAUAGGAUUAGAUACCCUAGUAGUCCACGCCGUAAACGAUGAGUACUAAGUGUUGGGGGUCAAACCUCAGUGCUGCAGUUAACGCAAUAAGUACUCCGCCUGAGUAGUACGUUCGCAAGAAUGAAACUCAAAGGAAUUGACGGGGGCCCGCACAAGCGGUGGAGCAUGUGGUUUAAUUCGAAGCAACGCGAAGAACCUUACCAGGUCUUGACAUCGAUCUAAAGGCUCCAGAGAUGGAGAGAUAGCUAUAGAGAAGACAGGUGGUGCAUGGUUGUCGUCAGCUCGUGUCGUGAGAUGUUGGGUUAAGUCCCGCAACGAGCGCAACCCCUGUUGCCAGUUGCCAGCAUUAAGUUGGGGACUCUGGCGAGACUGCCGGUGACAAGCCGGAGGAAGGCGGGGAUGACGUCAAAUCAUCAUGCCCCUUAUGACCUGGGCUACACACGUGCUACAAUGGACAGAGCAGAGGGAAGCGAAGCCGCGAGGUGGAGCGAAACCCAUAAAACUGUUCUCAGUUCGGACUGCAGUCUGCAACUCGACUGCACGAAGAUGGAAUCGCUAGUAAUCGCGAAUCAGCAUGUCGCGGUGAAUACGUUCUCGGGCCUUGUACACACCGCCCGUCACACCAUGAGAGUCGGUAACACCCGAAGCCGGUGGCCUAACCGCAAGGAAGGAGCUGUCUAAGGUGGGACUGAUGAUUGGGGUGAAGUCGUAACAAGGUA